Molecule: long non-coding RNA, 640 nt
Organism: Ornithorhynchus anatinus (platypus)
Lineage: Eukaryota; Metazoa; Chordata; Mammalia; Monotremata; Ornithorhynchidae
Exons: 2
Source: RefSeq, a predicted model, not a curated record
CGGCAUUAGAACCCAGGUCCUUCUGACACCCAGGCCCGGGCUCUCUCCACUAGGCCACGCUGCUUCUCGAGAGGAUGAGAUUCGACUGGGACGAGUGUCUUUUUUCCCACUUCAGAGGAAAUACAAACAUCAAAGACGGAGGCUGCGGAAAGGCUAGUGUGUCAAGUUCCACCUAGGAAAACGACGACUGGCAAGGCCAGGAUCCACCUCCUGAGCACCCUUAGCGACAACGAAUCCCUGACCGCCGCCCGCGGCCCCGAGACCCAAAUUAUCAGCAACCCCGGCGGCCGUGAACCUCGGGCCGCCGCCCGUAGCCUGGAAAGCCAACGCCUUCGCUCGCCCAAGACCUCUUCGGCCACCGAGGGUCCGCUGGAUGACCCGAAGCCGACAGUGAAGGGGCUCGGCGGAUAACGAGAGGCCAGUGAAGACGACGACCGAGACGGGCGGAGCGGCAGGCGACACGCCAAUCCGGCGCACGGACAGAUAGGACUUGAGGGGAGGGGUGGGACGAGAGGGAAGGGUGAGGGGACGCGGGACCAGCGGGGAAUAUAAGGAUGGGCUCAUCCUCGGGGCUUUGGCUACCAGAACGGCCACUGACCCUAUUAUUCGUUGCAACAAAAUGAAUAAAAGCUUGACCCGA